This 301-nucleotide ribosomal RNA is filed under the name uncultured bacterium. RNAcentral's name for it is "partial 16S ribosomal RNA". It matches the Rfam family "Bacterial small subunit ribosomal RNA", at positions 509 to 807 of the family's 1533-position model. The record is from RNAcentral.
CAGUAGCCGCGGUAACACGGAGGGGGCUGGCGUUGUUCGGAAUUACUGGGCGUAAAGCGCACGUAGGUGGCUUGGUAAGUUAGAGGUGAAAGCCUGGAGCUCAACUCCAGAAUUGCCUUUAAGACUGCCGAGCUAGCAGGUGAGAGAGGUAAGUGGAAUUCCGAGUGUAGAGGUGAAAUUCGUAGAUAUUCGGAAGAACACCAGUGGCGAAGGCGGCUUACUGGCUCAUACUGGACGCUGAGGUGCGAAAGCGUGGGGAGCAAACAGGAUUAGAUACCCCGGUAGUCCCUGUCUCUUAUAC